Long non-coding RNA from Engraulis encrasicolus (European anchovy), 656 nucleotides. RefSeq lists it as uncharacterized. The record is from RefSeq and is a predicted model, not a curated record. NCBI's taxonomy places the organism in Eukaryota, Metazoa, Chordata, Actinopteri, Clupeiformes, Engraulidae. The transcript is spliced from 3 exons.
UGAUCAUAUUGGGAUAGAGAACAUGAGUGAGGUGGUACUCAUACUAUGACAAAAAUGCUUAGGGGGUACUCAAGACGAAAAAGGUUGGGAGACACUGAUGUAUGCCCAGAUCAUGUACGCCCAGAGCAAAGUCACAGGCAGUGUGCUUCUCUUGCAUUCACAGACUGCCCAUGCUUUUUUAAAGAGAUAAGUUAGAAUGCUUUGCAUAUCUAUUUGUGUAGAGUUAAUCACCAAGACAAUUUCCAGAAGUUGUAUCCAGGUGUCAAUUGUGUCCUUGUUCUGGUGUUGUUAUUUUCAAACAGAGAUGGCUCUUGCUCACUGGCAGUGACUUGGGUCAUGUGAGACAGCAUCAGAGCUCGGGUGACAUCUCUCGCUCGGGUGAAAUCUCUCCUGGAAGAUUUCAAGGUGUGUGCAGAGUUCUGAAGAAUAAAAGUCAACAGUCAAGUUCUUCUCCAUAUUCUCCAAAUCUGACGGAGGCGUUCCAUCAGGAAAGGGGGAAUGGUUGGUCGAUGCCUCCAGAAUAAUGAUACCCAUGACCCAGGCACAACAUGCUGACAGGGAAUCGGCUAUGGCAGAAAGCAUCCAUGCCAUCUACGUGAUCCGCCAUGAAGGUUCAGAAGCUACUGACAGUCCUGAGGACAUCGGAAUCAUUUUCA